UACGGAGGGCGCAAGCGUUAUCCGGAAUUAUUGGGCGUAAAGAGCUCGUAGGCGGUUUGUCGCGUCUGCCGUGAAAGUCCGGGGCUUAACUCCGGAUCUGCGGUGGGUACGGGCAGACUAGAGUGCAGUAGGGGAGACUGGAAUUCCUGGUGUAGCGGUGAAAUGCGCAGAUAUCAGGAGGAACACCGAUGGCGAAGGCAGGUCUCUGGGCUGUAACUGACGCUGAGGAGCGAAAGCAUGGGGAGCGAACAGG
This 253-nucleotide ribosomal RNA is filed under the name uncultured bacterium. Its description in RNAcentral is "partial 16S ribosomal RNA". It matches the Rfam family "Bacterial small subunit ribosomal RNA", at positions 524 to 776 of the family's 1533-position model. The record is from RNAcentral.